RNAcentral lists this transfer RNA (70 nucleotides) under Ovis aries (sheep). It matches the Rfam family "tRNA". Rfam says of the family: Transfer RNA (tRNA) molecules are approximately 80 nucleotides in length. Their secondary structure includes four short double-helical elements and three loops (D, anti-codon, and T loops). The record is from Rfam by way of RNAcentral. Lineage: Eukaryota; Metazoa; Chordata; Mammalia; Artiodactyla; Bovidae.
UCUGGUGGCUCAGAGGGUAAAGCAUCUGCCUGAAAUGCAGGAGACCUGGGUUCAAUUCCUGGAUCUGGAA